Molecule: unclassified non-coding RNA, 329 nt
Filed under: soil metagenome
Description: partial contains 5.8S ribosomal RNA, internal transcribed spacer 2, and large subunit ribosomal RNA
Rfam family: 5.8S ribosomal RNA (bases 1-120)
Source: RNAcentral
GAUGAAGAACGUAGCGAAAUGCGAUAAGUAGUGUGAAUUGCAGAAUUCAGUGAAUCAUCGAAUCUUUGAACGCACAUUGCGCCCCUUGGUAUCCCGAGGGGCAUGCCUGUUCGAGCGUCAUUUUACCACUCAAGCCUGGCUUGGUGUUGGGCGACGUCCCCUUUGGGGACGCGCCUCGAAACGCUCGGCGGCGUGGCACCGGCUUUAAGCGUAGCAGAAUCUUUCGCUUUGGAAGUCGGGGCCCCGUCUGCCGGAAGACCUACUCGCAAGGUUGACCUCGGAUCAGGCAGGGAUACCCGCUGAACUUAAGCAUAUCAAUAAGCGGAGGA